GGAGAGUCCUGCCUCUGCUCCUCCUGGGUGGUGUGGGGGUGUUUUGUGUGUCUCGGCUAUAGAGGGACCUUGGAAGUCUCCAGCCCAACUCCCUUCUUUACUGAUGAGCAAAGUGACUUGUUUAAGGCGAGGAAGUUAACAGGAGGAGCAACCUUCCUAAGCUCACUCAGAGAGUGAGUGGCAAAGCUACCAGCCAUUGACUUGUCGAUGCCUGAGGUGACUCCGAUUCCCUGGGUAGCCACUUCCACUCUCAGUCUGAGCCCUUCUGCACGAGACCCCCAGUGUCCCAAGGGUCAGGGGCAGGACCGCUAACCUGCCACGGGGUGCGCAUAGCCCCCUGCUUCAUGGAGCAAGCUCUCUACCUUCCUGGACACCUUAUUUCAGCCAAAGGUCUCUCCACUCCCCAAAGCCAGAGAGGAUGAAAGGUCAGGAAAAUGCCUCUGAGAAUAUCCUGGUGCGUGCGUCCUGCUGCGUCAUCUGGCCGCUCGCCUUCACCCCUGCUCCCCCAGCCUACAGCUGCGCGCUUCUGUGCAGAAACGGGCCGCGCUGGGUUCUCUCCGAGAUGGAUUCUUUUGCUGUUGCCCUAGUAACAGAAUUAUUAAACCAAGUUCCAGCCUCGGGAGUAUUUGUGCCUGGUGAGGUAAUGUCUGUCGCAUGCAGCCUUUUCAUUCCUAGCCCCAGCCCCUCGCUUCAGGCUCUCGGUAUCUCACCCCUAGACUGAUGGGCUCAGCUCCUCCCUGGCCCCAGAUGCCACCUGUUCCCCAUCUCCACCCCAGGGUGGCUCCCAGCUGAGCAACACCCUUUCUCAGCCUCAGAGACUCUGUGUUGACCAAACCCCCCAUCAGCCUGGCAUUCAGAGCCCCCCAUCGUGGCCCAUACCACUUUCCAAAAGCCCACAGUGCUCCCUUCCCAAAGCCCACAGGGCUCCGUGCACUUUAGCAGAGCGGGCUGUGCCUGAAGUCCAGUGACAGGGAGGAGAUCCAGGAGGAACAAAGACGGAGAAUCCACAGGACUUAGGUAGCAACUGGUUGGUGGA
Lutra lutra (Eurasian river otter) is the source of this 1036-nucleotide long non-coding RNA. RefSeq lists it as uncharacterized. NCBI's taxonomy places the organism in Eukaryota, Metazoa, Chordata, Mammalia, Carnivora, Mustelidae. The record is from RefSeq and is a predicted model, not a curated record. The transcript is spliced from 4 exons.